Molecule: ribosomal RNA, 434 nt
Filed under: uncultured bacterium
Lineage: Bacteria
Description: partial 16S ribosomal RNA
Rfam family: Bacterial small subunit ribosomal RNA
Source: RNAcentral
AACGAACGCUGGCGGCAUGCCUAACACAUGCAAGUCGAACGAUUGCCUUCGGGUGAUUGUGGCGCACGGGUGCGUAACGCGUGGGAAUCUGCCCUUAGGUUCGGAAUAACAGCUGGAAGCGGCUGCUAAUACCGGAUGAUAUCGCGAGAUCAAAGAUUUAUCGCCUGAGGAUGAGCCCGAGUUGGAUUAGGUAGUUGGUGGGGUAAAGGCCUACCAAGCCGACGAUCCAUAGCUGGUCUGAGAGGAUGAUCAGCCACACUGGGACUGGGACACGGCCCAGACUCCUACGGGAGGCAGCAGUGGUGAAUAUUGGACACCGGCGCAAGCCUGAUCCAGCAAUGCCGCGUGAGUGAUGAAGUCCCUAGGGUUGUAAAGCUCUUUUACCCGGGAAGAUAAUGACGGUACCGGGAGAAUAAGCCCCGGCUAACUCCGUG